GUUUGCAGCCAUGCCACCCUGAACAAGCCCCAUGUCUGAUCUCAGAAACUAAGCAGGGUCGGGCCUGGUUAGUACUUGGAUGGGAGACCACCUAGGAAGACCAGGUGCUGUAAGCA
Molecule: ribosomal RNA, 116 nt
Filed under: Pteropus alecto (black flying fox)
Lineage: Eukaryota; Metazoa; Chordata; Mammalia; Chiroptera; Pteropodidae
Source: RNAcentral